RNAcentral lists this ribosomal RNA (468 nucleotides) under uncultured bacterium. RNAcentral describes it as "partial 16S ribosomal RNA". It matches the Rfam family "Bacterial small subunit ribosomal RNA", at positions 28 to 523 of the family's 1533-position model. The record is from RNAcentral.
GAUGAACGCUGGCGGCGUGCCUAACACAUGCAAGUUGAGCGAUUCUCUUCGGAGAAGAGCGGCGGACGGGUGAGUAAAGUGUGGGUAACCUGCACUGUACACACGGAUAAUCUAAAGAAAGGUAAGCUAAUACGAGAUAAUAUACUUUUACCGCAUGGUAGAAGUAACAAAGCUCAGGCGGUACAGGAUGGAAACGCGUCUGAUUAGCUAGUUGGUAAGGUAACGGCUUACCAAGGCGACGAUGAGGAGCCGACCUGAGAGGGUGAUCGGCCACAUUGGAACUGAGACACGGUCCAAACUCCUACGGGAGGCAGCAGUGGGGAAUAUUGCACAAUGGGCGAAAGCCUGAUGCAGCAACGCCGCGUGAGCGAUGAAGGCCUUCGGGUCGUAAAGCUCUGUCCUCAAGGAAGAUAAUGACGGUACUUGAGGAGGAAGCCCCGGCUAACUACGUGCCAGCAGCCGCAGUAA